Salvelinus namaycush (lake trout) is the source of this 413-nucleotide long non-coding RNA. RefSeq lists it as uncharacterized. The record is from RefSeq and is a predicted model, not a curated record. The transcript has 2 exons. NCBI's taxonomy places the organism in Eukaryota, Metazoa, Chordata, Actinopteri, Salmoniformes, Salmonidae.
UAAAGAUGGCAGAAUUCUGAUAUGACGUCAUUGUUUUAGAACUAUCCCGUUUUGAAACUACGGUGCUCGACAUUGUUCAAUGUUCCAAUAAAUCAACACAAUCUACUUUGACGAGUUUUCAAAUUGCCAGCGUCUUGAAACUAAAAUUGAGAUCAUGUUUACUGUGCUAAUGACCAUACCAAAAAAAAAAAGAGAAAGCGAGCAAUGUGAAAAACAGUGAACGUAGGAAAACCAGGAAGUUGUGUUCCACUCUGCCCCGGUGCUUUCCUGCAGUCGACCAGAACCAGCAGUAAAGCGGUACCAGGAGGCGUUUGACCCGGGGACUCCGGGAGGGUGGAGGGGAACGUGCUAGCUUUGUCCUGUUGGCCGCAAGAAAUAUCAAACAGUUUAUCAUUAAACCAAAUAUUGUAUUA